UCAAAAGCAAAACGAGAUGCAUAUAUAUAACAGAAUUGAAAAAAAUAGCUAUAAAGUGUGAAUAGUAAAUACAAAAUUGCACAGGAGGGUGGAUUUUCACCAUUUUCGAAUAAGAAUAAUUAAAAUGUUUGAUGGUGAUGGUGGUGCACGAAGGACGAAGACAGGCGGCUUCGUUUCCACGGUAUUGGAAAAUAGGUUAUAAAGAAAAAGGUUUGAUAGGAGGUAGCUGCAUAGAUGAAGCAGUAGUUGUCGAGAGAAGACUGCUCGCGGAAAGUGAGCAUUCGAUAUCGGAGGGGACCACCAUUUUGUCGGUCGGGCCGUCGGGGGAGGUGUACUACGUGAAGUGGGCUCAAGCAUGCUCAAGAUAGCCAGCCCCCGUCAAAGGUCCGUCGCGAGUUUACGCAGAUGAGCAGAUUGAAAACGAUACGAAAGACGUACGAGGGGGCUCGGGGAUGAUUUUUAUGACACCCGGGUUCCCUCAAUCACAUCAUUAACCACUAUUAUUUUAUACCGUAUGAGCGCAUGAAAGAUUUUCAACGUUACCCCAUUUCUUUCCAACUUGGUGAACGAUUCUUCGAGUUUGAAUUUCACCGAACACACGACACUCCGACACUUGUCUUAACCUAAAACACACAGCUCGAGGCUUACUCCACUUUGUCGACACGGCGGGCCGUAUAAAUCACCAAAAUACACGACAUUAUUCGUCAAUAUAAAGGGACAAGUCAUAAAACGCCAUGAACAAUAACAAGGAGCCGCCAUUUGCAAUGCGACUAACUGACAUGCGCAAAUCAAUCGCGCGGGGCAUCCUGGGUAUCGUUGCAAUUGGUUGCAACGCCAUCUCACCGAUAAUCUAUCUCUACUCGUAACCUUCUUUGCCUUGCUCACUCCCUCUUUUUCUCUACUCUCUUUACGCACCACCCGAACCUCUCAUAUUAUUUAACUUUUUUUUUAAUCUUUAUCAUCCUUAUUUUUAAUGUUCUUUGUUUUUACCCCUAAUUUUUAUUCAUUGUCGCAACGAGCCAUUAAUUUUAAGACGCAAAUUGUUUUAACCUUGAAAUGUACAACAUUGCAUGGUGUAGAUACUUAACUAUAUGCUCGUUUGGAGUAAUCACAGUGUCUUUGUUGGGAUCAAAUGGACAUUGAGGAAAAUUCUUAUGAAAGAUUUACAGAUUUAUUAUAUUGAACUUUUGCAUUAUACUACAGAAGUAACGGCUAAAGCUGGAUUUAUUUUGGACACGAUUGCAUGAAGCCUGAAUCGUUCAUGAUUUUUAAAGCAGCCUCUGCGUCAUAAGUCCUGCAAAUAAAAAAAACAAUUCAUCAACGUU
Molecule: long non-coding RNA, 1325 nt
Organism: Venturia canescens
Lineage: Eukaryota; Metazoa; Arthropoda; Insecta; Hymenoptera; Ichneumonidae
Exons: 2
Source: RefSeq, a predicted model, not a curated record